AGAGUUUGUAACACCCAAAGUCGGUGGGGUAACCUUUUAGGAACUAGCCGCCUAAGGUGGGACAGAUGAUUAGGGUGAAGUCGUAACAAGGUAGCCGUAGGAGAACCUGCGGCUGGAUCACCUCCUUUCUAAGGAAUAUUACGGAAACCUACACACGCGUCGAAACUUUGUUUAGUUUUGAGAGAUUUAACUCUCAAAACUUGUUCUUUGAAAACUAGAUAAUAUCAAAUAUAUUUUUUCAUAAUGAAACCGAGAACACCGCGUUUUUUGAGUUUUUUAUUGAAGCUUUAAUUAUCGUCUAAACUCAUUAAUCUGCAUUUACCGUUAGGUAAAUGAGGUUAAGUUAACAAGGGCGCAUGGUGAAUGCCUUGGCACUAGGAGCCGAUGAAGGACGGGACUAACACCAAUAUGCUUCGGGGAGCUGUACGUAAGCUAUGAUCCGGAUAUUUCCGAAUGGGCAACCCAGCAGUUUUAAUCAACGUGUUACCACUAGAGAAUUCAAGUCUAGUUGGAGGUAA
RNAcentral lists this unclassified non-coding RNA (518 nucleotides) under Lactiplantibacillus plantarum. RNAcentral's name for it is "Lactobacillus plantarum partial contains 16S ribosomal RNA, 16S-23S intergenic spacer, and 23S ribosomal RNA". The stretch from base 337 to 518 matches the Rfam family "Bacterial large subunit ribosomal RNA", at positions 1 to 183 of the family's 2925-position model. The record is from RNAcentral. Lineage: Bacteria; Bacillati; Bacillota; Bacilli; Lactobacillales; Lactobacillaceae.